RNAcentral lists this ribosomal RNA (433 nucleotides) under uncultured bacterium. RNAcentral's name for it is "partial 16S ribosomal RNA". It matches the Rfam family "Bacterial small subunit ribosomal RNA", at positions 29 to 507 of the family's 1533-position model. The record is from RNAcentral.
AACGAACGCUGGCGGCAUGCCUAACACAUGCAAGUCGAACGAGACCAUCGGGUCUGGUGGCGCACGGGGGCGUAACGCGUGGGAAGCUUCCGUUAGGCUCGGGAUAACUCCCUUUCGGGGGUGCUAAUACAGGAUAAUGUCCUCGGACCACAGAUUCAUCGCGCUAGGUUGGGCCCGCGUUGGUUUAGCUAGCUGGUAGGGUAAAAGCCUAUGAAGGCGUCGAUAGUUAGCUGGGUAGAGAGGCAGGGCAGCGACUCUGGCACUAAGCAACGGCCCAGAAUCCUACGCGAGGGGGCAGUGGGGAAUAUUGGACUAUCGGCGAAAGCCUGAUCCAGCAAUGCCGGGUGAGUGCCGAAGGCCUGAGGGAUGUAAAGCUCUUUUACCCGGGAUGAUAAUGACAGUACCGGGAGAAUAAGCACCGGCUAACUCCGUG